GGCGGUGUAGCUCAGCCGGCUAGAGCGUCCGGUUCAUACCCGGGAGGUCGUGGGUUCGAUUCCCUCCGCCGCUA
RNAcentral lists this transfer RNA (74 nucleotides) under Pisciglobus halotolerans. RNAcentral describes it as "Carnobacteriaceae bacterium C01 tRNA". It matches the Rfam family "tRNA". From Rfam's summary of the family: Transfer RNA (tRNA) molecules are approximately 80 nucleotides in length. The record is from Rfam by way of RNAcentral. Lineage: Bacteria; Bacillati; Bacillota; Bacilli; Lactobacillales; Carnobacteriaceae.